This 118-nucleotide ribosomal RNA is filed under the name Lepisosteus oculatus (spotted gar). The record is from RNAcentral. Lineage: Eukaryota; Metazoa; Chordata; Actinopteri; Semionotiformes; Lepisosteidae.
UCCAGCAGCUCUAUCACCCAGCAACUCUCAGAGGGCAGCCCACUGGAGCUCAGCAGGUGUGAGCCUGGCCAGUACCUGGAGGGGAGACCUCCUGGGAAAGCUGAGGCUGCUGCUGGAA